This 229-nucleotide ribosomal RNA is filed under the name uncultured bacterium. Its description in RNAcentral is "partial 16S ribosomal RNA". It matches the Rfam family "Bacterial small subunit ribosomal RNA", at positions 103 to 334 of the family's 1533-position model. The record is from RNAcentral.
CGGGUGAGUAAUAUAUAGUUAAUGUGCCUUGAAGACCGGGAUAGCCAUUGGAAACGAUGAUUAAUACUGGAUAUACCUUCUAAUGUAAGAUUAGUCGGGAAACGUUUUUUCGCUUCGAGAUCAGACUAUAUCCCAUCAGCUUGUUGGUGAGGUAAGAGCUCACCAAGGCAAUGACGGGUAGCGGGUUUGAGAGGAUGAUCCGCCACACUGGUACUGAGACACGGACCAG